UGGCUCAGAUUGAACGCUGGCGGCAGGCCUAACACAUGCAAGUCGAGCGGUAGCACGGGGAGCUUGCUCCUGGGUGACGAGCGGCGGACGGGUGAGUAAUGUCUGGGGAUCUGCCUGAUGGAGGGGGAUAACUACUGGAAACGGUAGCUAAUACCGCAUAACGUCGCAAGACCAAAGAGGGGGACCUUCGGGCCUCUUGCCAUCAGAUGAACCCAGAUGGGAUUAGCUAGUAGGUGGGGUAAUGGCUCACCUAGGCGACGAUCCCUAGCUGGUCUGAGAGGAUGACCAGCCACACUGGAACUGAGACACGGUCCAGACUCCUACGGGAGGCAGCAGUGGGGAAUAUUGCACAAUGGGCGCAAGCCUGAUGCAGCCAUGCCGCGUGUAUGAAGAAGGCCUUCGGGUUGUAAAGUACUUUCAGCGAGGAGGAAGGCAUUAAGGUUAAUAACCUUGGUGAUUGACGUUACUCGCAGAAGAAGCACCGGCUAACUCCGUGCCAGCAG
This 503-nucleotide ribosomal RNA is filed under the name Enterobacter sp. RNAcentral describes it as "bacterial SSU rRNA". It matches the Rfam family "Bacterial small subunit ribosomal RNA", at positions 20 to 514 of the family's 1533-position model. The record is from RNAcentral. Lineage: Bacteria; Pseudomonadati; Pseudomonadota; Gammaproteobacteria; Enterobacterales; Enterobacteriaceae.